GAUGAACGCUGGCGGCGUGCCUAAUACAUGCAAGUCGAACGAAACUUCUUUAUCACCGAGUGCUUGCACUCACCGAUAAAGAGUUGAGUGGCGAACGGGUGAGUAACACGUGGGCAACCUGCCCAAAAGAGGGGGAUAACACUUGGAAACAGGUGCUAAUACCGCAUAACCAUAGUUACCGCAUGGUAACUAUGUAAAAGGUGGCUAUACUACCGCUUUUGGAUGGGCCCGCGGCGCAUUAGCUAGUUGGUAGGGUAAAGGCUUACCAAGGCAAUGAUGCGUAGCCGAAUUGAGAGGUUGAUCGGCCACAUUGGGACUGAGACACGGCCCAAACUCCUACGGGAGGCAGCAGUAGGGAAUCUUCCACAAUGGGCGAAAGCCUGAUGGAGCAACGCCGCGUGGGUGAAGAAGGUCUUCGGAUCGUAAAACCCUGUUGUUAGAGAAGAAAGUGCGUGAGAGUAACUGUACACGUUUCGACGGUAUCUAACCAGAAAGCCACGGCUAACUACGU
RNAcentral lists this ribosomal RNA (511 nucleotides) under uncultured bacterium. Its description in RNAcentral is "partial 16S ribosomal RNA". It matches the Rfam family "Bacterial small subunit ribosomal RNA", at positions 28 to 506 of the family's 1533-position model. The record is from RNAcentral.